CCUACGGGGGGCAGCAGUGAGGAAUAUUGGUCAAUGGGCGAGAGCCUGAACCAGCCAAGUCGCGUGAGGGAGUACUGCCCUAUGGGUUGUAAACCUCUUUUGUCGGGGAGCAAAAGCCGGACGUGUCCGGCUGUGAGAGUACCCGAAGAAAAAGCAUCGGCUAACUCCGUGCCAGCAGCCGCGGUAAUACGGAGGAUGCGAGCGUUAUCCGGGUUUAUUGGGUUUAAAGGGUGCGCAGGCGGAUUUUUAAGUCAGCGGUAAAAUCGUGGGGCUCAACCCCAUCCAGCCGUUGAAACUGGGGAUCUAGAGUGUGCGAGAGGUAUGCGGAAUGCGUGGUGUAGCGGUGAAAUGCAUAGAUAUCACGCAGAACCCCGAUUGCGAAGGCAGCAUACCGGUGCACAACUGACGCUCAGGCACGAAAGCGUGGGUAUCGAACAGGAUUAGAUACCCGAGUAGUC
This 458-nucleotide ribosomal RNA is filed under the name uncultured bacterium. Its description in RNAcentral is "partial 16S ribosomal RNA". It matches the Rfam family "Bacterial small subunit ribosomal RNA", at positions 338 to 795 of the family's 1533-position model. The record is from RNAcentral.